This 800-nucleotide ribosomal RNA is filed under the name uncultured bacterium. Its description in RNAcentral is "bacterial SSU rRNA". It matches the Rfam family "Bacterial small subunit ribosomal RNA", at positions 8 to 810 of the family's 1533-position model. The record is from RNAcentral.
AGAGUUUGAUCCUGGCUCAGGAUGAACGCUGGCGGCGUGCUUAACACAUGCAAGUCGAGCGAAGCAGUUAAGAAGAUUCUUCGGAUGAAACUUGAUUGACUGAGCGGCGGACGGGUGAGUAACGCGUGGGUGACCUGCCCCAUACCGGGGGAUAACAGCUGGAAACGGCUGCUAAUACCGCAUAAGCGCACAGAGCUGCAUAGCUCAGUGUGAAAAACUCCGGUGGUAUGGGAUGGGCCCGCGUCUGAUUAGGCAGUUGGCGGGGUAACGGCCCACCAAACCGACGAUCAGUAGCCGGCCUGAGAGGGCGACCGGCCACAUUGGGACUGAGACACGGCCCAAACUCCUACGGGAGGCAGCAGUGGGGAAUAUUGCACAAUGGGGGAAACCCUGAUGCAGCGACGCCGCGUGAGCGAAGAAGUAUUUCGGUAUGUAAAGCUCUAUCAGCAGGGAAGAUAAUGACGGUACCUGACUAAGAAGCCCCGGCUAACUACGUGCCAGCAGCCGCGGUAAUACGUAGGGGGCAAGCGUUAUCCGGAUUUACUGGGUGUAAAGGGAGCGUAGACGGCAAGGCAAGUCUGAUGUGAAAACCCAGGGCUUAACCCUGGGACUGCAUUGGAAACUGUCUGGCUCGAGUGCCGGAGAGGUAAGCGGAAUUCCUAGUGUAGCGGUGAAAUGCGUAGAUAUUAGGAAGAACACCAGUGGCGAAGGCGGCUUACUGGACGGUAACUGACGUUGAGGCUCGAAAGCGUGGGGAGCAAACAGGAUUAGAUACCCUGGUAGUCCACGCCGUAAACGAU